This is a long non-coding RNA of Myotis davidii, 110 nucleotides long. RefSeq lists it as uncharacterized. The transcript has 3 exons. NCBI's taxonomy places the organism in Eukaryota, Metazoa, Chordata, Mammalia, Chiroptera, Vespertilionidae. The record is from RefSeq and is a predicted model, not a curated record.
UGUGGGUUUCUUGUUGUUUUGUUGAUUGUUUCUAUUGCUGUGCAGAAACUUUUUAUUUUGUUGUAGUCCCAUGUGUUCAUUUUCUUCUUAGUUUCUUUUGCCCUAGGAGA